Ceratotherium simum simum (southern white rhinoceros) is the source of this 616-nucleotide non-coding RNA. NCBI's taxonomy places the organism in Eukaryota, Metazoa, Chordata, Mammalia, Perissodactyla, Rhinocerotidae. The record is from RefSeq and is a predicted model, not a curated record.
CUCCUCUGAUGUCUGGGAUAGUGCUGCUUGCCAGUGGCCAGGACUUAAGUUUAGGAUCUAGAUGUUGUCAUAGCCUGUUUCUUAGGGCCUGACAGGUAGUGAGUGCCUAAGAAGUGUCUGUUGGCUGCAUGAAGGAAUGGCCCCCCAUGGGCCUCUGGAUGAGGGCUGGUAGGGCCAGUGCUGGUGGGCUUCUGGAAAGCAGAGAAGUUGGAGUCUGCCGAACAAUGGCUCCAUCCUUGAAAGAGGGGAGCUGCUACAGGCCUGGGAAGAAAAGCAGAGUUGGAGAAGGGACAGAGGGGCCUUGGGACUGAGCACGGCACCAGCAGUCCUCUGAGGACAGUGGUCCCACCAGCUCCGGGUUCUGCUGAGCUCUGAGCUUCUCUCCUGAGUGGACGCAGAGGGUAGCAUCUGUCUCAUCCCCGACAGGGAAGCCAGGCCCACUCUGCCCUCUGCAGGGGGAUUUAUUAUUUUCUCUUUUCCAGUUUCCCUCACUCUGCCAUGCACUUCUAGGUGAAUUUCACUUUCCAGAUGGCAAACGUAGGGCCUGGGGACAGAAUAGCACCUACUGGCUCUUCUUCAGAACAGCCUUCUGCCCUGUCAUUCCUGCUGGUAGCUU